AGAGAUGGUUAAAAAAGAAAUGCACUCUUUUCUUCAUAAAAGUAAGUAAUCAAUUGAAGUCAGCUGAAAGGCUUGGAUAAUCUUUUGAAAUUUCAUUGUGAUGGGAAUAGAUAAUUGCAAUUAUUGAUUUUCAAUGAGGAAUUCCUAGUAAGCACAAGUCAUCAGCUCGUGCUGACUACAUCCCUACCUUUUGUA
This 195-nucleotide non-coding RNA is filed under the name Selaginella moellendorffii. RNAcentral's name for it is "Eukaryotic small subunit ribosomal RNA". It matches the Rfam family "Eukaryotic small subunit ribosomal RNA", at positions 1502 to 1664 of the family's 1831-position model. Lineage: Eukaryota; Viridiplantae; Streptophyta; Lycopodiopsida; Selaginellales; Selaginellaceae. The record is from Rfam by way of RNAcentral.